Molecule: long non-coding RNA, 2336 nt
Filed under: Solanum tuberosum (potato)
Lineage: Eukaryota; Viridiplantae; Streptophyta; Magnoliopsida; Solanales; Solanaceae
Description: long non-coding RNA (STUB_LNC004093)
Source: RNAcentral
GUGGAAAGAGUAUUGUUGGUAAUCCAUCCAUUUAACCUCAGGUUAGUUGAAAUUAGUUCAUCUUCUUAGAUCUAAUCUUCAGUGGGUUGAACCCAAAAAUAGGAUUAAUACCAUCACCGAGCUUAAAUCGUAAAGGAAUUACUAAUUUCUGACAUUUUUUUGCGAGGUUGUGGAUGUAUUUCUGGGAUUUGCACUAUUGUACAGGUUAUGCAAAGUAUUCUGGACUUGAGCAACUAGUUAGGUACAUAAUUGAACCCAACCAAUUUUCUUUCCUCUUUUGGACUGAUCGUUCGAAAUAAACAAUUUCGAAAUUAUUUUGCUAUGUGUAUUAUGAAAUAAUAGACCUACUAUAGAUGUUAAUAGACUGCUAUAAUCUAUGAGUCUUGAUUUAAUACCAUAUGAAACACCCUAAACUCUCACCAGGUGUAUGGUAUAUCAACCAACUGAAUUUCAUCUAGACAUCAUACAAUGUGUAGUAACUUUUAUCAUCUAAUAUAACUUUAUCAAAUAUCUUAUGUAAAGUGUAUUCAAAUCAAACCAUUUAUACUCUUGUAGUGUUUGACUGACUUAUCCUCAACUGUGGUGUGCUUUGUUUAUCUAAGAUGAUAAUUCUCUUGGCUGUAUUCGGAACCUCUUGGAAAGAUCUAAAUUCAUAUGUACCUGCAAAAAGAAAAACCAAGUAAGCAAAAAAAUCAGCAAAAGUACUUCCCUCCCUUAAGGAGUGUUGUACUCUUACUGACAUGGAAUUCUUCAAUUUAUUGAUGGAAUUGACCUCCAUUGUCACAUUCCAAGGUAUUUCCCACUCUCCCUUCAGCAUAUAUACCAAAGCCAAUGAGUCUGUUUAUAAUGUUUGGAAAGUUGUUUUCCAAACAACAUUGAAGACCUUCUCUAAUAGCAAUAGCUUCAGCAACUAGAUUAGUAGAAUCAGAAAUCCUUACCCCCUUAGCAAUCACCAGCGAACCUUCAUGAUUUCUGAUUCAAAAGGCAGCAACACUAGGUCCAGAAUUACCUCUAGAUGCCCCAUCUGUAUUACAUUUCAACCACCCAGAUAGUGGAGGAUUCCAUUUAACCCAUUUAGAGACAAACCUAGGUCUGAAAACAUCCAAUAGAGCAACCAUCUGAGACCAAGUGGAGAGGACAUCAGUAUAUUGAAACUUUAACUUCAUAAAUUUAUGAAUAAUACUAUUAAUGUCCCAAAUCACUUUACUUGUGGUGUAAUUACCACCAUGAAGCACAAUAAUUCUCCUUUUCCAUAAGAACCAUAAGAUUAGAUUAGGAAUAACUUGAAAAAUCACCUUUUGCCUAGUAUUUCCUUGAAUAUGCCACUGUUUUUUGAUAGAUUGCUUCAACUGAAUCCAAGUCCCUAAUAUUCCAGGUGCAUAUGAGAAAUAUUGCCACAGUUUGUUGGCAAUUUCACCUUUCAAAAAUAAGUGUUCCAUAGUUUCUCUUGCUGGAACAGUACAACAUAAGCAAAGUUGAGACUGAUUAGGAUUCCAAUGAUCUACAACAACAGCUAUUGGAACUAUAUUAGUCCAAACCCUCUAACUAAAGAAAUAUACCUUAAAAGGAAGAUCUUGCACCUAUAUCAUCUUUAAAUUUUCAUCUACUUCAUUUUUUUUCCUCAAAAUCUCCCAAGCACUCUUAACUGAGAAGUUUUUGGUGCUUGUCUCGAUCCACCACGGUUUGUCUCCCAUAUCAGUCUGUCUAAUAUGAUCCAUAUGUUGCCUAAUAUGUUCCAGAACAUGAUAAGGCAGAUGAUCAUACAUACUAUCAUAAUCCCACCCUACUUUAUUCAUGAAAAACUCAAUGUCCAUCAAAGAGUGACAAGUUUGUACUUCAGUUUGAUAUGUGUAAAGAGGACCUAGCUGGGUCCAACUAUCAUAUGAAACAGUAAAAGUUCCACCCUUAGGUUCCCACCAUAUAAAUUUUUCAAUGUCGUCCCUAUUUUGUACCAUAUUCUUCCACAAUUGAGAUCCACAUUUCCAUUGAACCAGAGUUGGAAUAUAAAUAGGGAAUGUACAUGACAUUCUAAGGAGAUUAAGAAAAUUCUUCAACAAGCAUUCUACAAGGAUUGGAGAAAGCGACAACACCAACUACAUAGCUCUUUGAAGAAGUGGUUAACAGAAUUCUUCCCGGAGAUCGACUUGAAACGACGAAUUGCUUCCCGACGUUUCCGGAGAUCAAACACAUCUCAAGAAGGUCUACAUCAUCCAACAAUUCGAGAAGUACGCUACUGUAGGCCCUCGAAUCUUGGAGAAGUUUAAGAGAGAAGAAUUAAGAGAACAACAAAAUUGUACUCACAACGAUUUAUCAAUAAAAAUCACAUUUUCUUUUUA